This is a long non-coding RNA of Mauremys reevesii (Reeves's turtle), 425 nucleotides long. RefSeq lists it as uncharacterized. NCBI's taxonomy places the organism in Eukaryota, Metazoa, Chordata, Testudines, Geoemydidae. The transcript has 4 exons. The record is from RefSeq and is a predicted model, not a curated record.
AUACAAUAGCAGCUCUUGCAGCCCCUCCUGGCCUGCACUGAGUACCCCAUCGGUGAGGGCCUGGGGCAGCUUUGGAGACUCUAUACAUUAUGGUAUUAGACCAAAAAUGUUCUAAUUGUUGAAUCUAAGCUGGUGGAUGAAUUCUCAGAGCAAAAGCACAAUUGAUGAUGGACUCUAAAGAAUGUACUUUGUAGAGGAUAUAUACCUAGUCCUGUCAUUGUCUGUCAGAGGACUGCAAAGUGCUCUCUCUAUACAGAGAGACAUACACAGAUAUUUAUCAGAUUGUUAAAGGGAACUUCUGCUGCCGGUGAAACAAAAAAAUCAUGUAAACUGUACCUCGAAGUCUAACACUUCUUGAGUGAUAAAACAAAACUUAGAUGCUUCUCACCACAGGCUGGCAGGUUGCUCUUCAGCCAGGCUCUUCC